This is a long non-coding RNA of Maniola jurtina (meadow brown), 900 nucleotides long. RefSeq lists it as uncharacterized. The transcript has 3 exons. The record is from RefSeq and is a predicted model, not a curated record. Lineage: Eukaryota; Metazoa; Arthropoda; Insecta; Lepidoptera; Nymphalidae.
UCUUCUCUAGGUUCAUAGAGUAUUGUUUAUUUACACUUUUACGUUGAGUUGACUUUGUGACGAAACCUAAUAAAGUAAUUUAAAAGUCGAAACUAAAAAGGAAACUGGCACCCUACAGGGCCGCCUCUGUAAGGCAGCUUGAGAUUCUGUUAGAAGUUGCUGAAAGCAACUCAAAUAUUGCACUCGGUGGAGGACCUCUCGGCCGCCAGGUAGCUCUUAAUAAUGGGAAGAGCUUUCCAGAAAGCUCAAUUCUGUGGGGGCAGGGUAUAUUAAACCUUCGUGGAGUGGAAGCGAUAUUGGAUACUGCUUAAGAGCCCCACAAAAGGCAAGGCUGGAGACUUGCGACGAGCAGCCACUGGCACUGGAGGUGAACCAAAUUUCAACACUUCUUUGACCCCUAUCGAAGAACAAUAUAAGUAUAAUUGGGAACGUGGCAGUAGAGGGAGAACCCAAAAUCCAGAUUCCUAUAAAUGAAUCAUAGAUUCCUGACCUGCCUACUCAACCAAGUACAUCUACUGUACAUCACCAAUAUGAGAAAUCAUUAUUGAUGAGCAGCUUAGUGACAACUAUACAACAAACAGAGGAGCCUUCACAAAUAGAAGCUACACAUAACCGCUACAUAUUUCACUAGCAUUAGAAGUUUCUCAGUCUGUCUAUCAUGUUGAUACUGAGAUACCAGAAGUUAGCACACCAACCAGCACACAACACCGUCAGCCUUUAAGAAGUAAUAAACUUAUCCAAAUAUAUUUGAAACCUUUUCAUAGCCAUUGCUCACCUAACAACUAACAUUUUUUUUAAAUUCCAUUAAUAAAAAGAUAUUAAGAUAAGCCUUUAUUAACUGAAUUGAAUUACAUUAAUGCUAUGUACAUAAUAUAUUUAAAUAAAUAAUAUUUUAGUUUU